GAACAAGUGAUGUAAAGGGGUUGCUGGUUGGUAGGCCGGGGCUGCCAACUCUCUCAACAUACAUUCUUAAGCCCAUCUACUCUUCUUCUACCUCAAAUUUAGUGACUGAAUUAUUGACUUCAAGGAUUAUGUCUUGAUUACACAUUUUCACUAUAGCUUAGUUUUUUUCUUCAAACUUUUAGUGGUCUUUUCAAUUUUUAAAUAGUAAAGAAGUGGUUCCUAAUUAUCAAACAU
Molecule: long non-coding RNA, 234 nt
Filed under: Carica papaya (papaya)
Lineage: Eukaryota; Viridiplantae; Streptophyta; Magnoliopsida; Brassicales; Caricaceae
Description: long non-coding RNA (CPAP_LNC009005)
Source: RNAcentral